This 179-nucleotide unclassified non-coding RNA is filed under the name uncultured Sordariales. Its description in RNAcentral is "sequence contains ITS1". The record is from RNAcentral. Lineage: Eukaryota; Fungi; Ascomycota; Sordariomycetes; Sordariales.
CAGGGUCUAACGACUGCCCAAACCAAACCGUGAACCAUUCCACGAACCAUAUGCUUCGGCGGGUCGCUCGCUGGGGGAGCCGCGCGGCCGCUUGAUCGGUGGUCCGCCGAAGCAUGCAAAACAAAAAUCGUCACUGAAUCCUCUCUGAGAAGAUUUUUUCUUAAAAGGAAAUUGAAUCA